Molecule: non-coding RNA, 778 nt
Filed under: Stolotermes ruficeps
Lineage: Eukaryota; Metazoa; Arthropoda; Insecta; Blattodea; Termopsidae
Description: 12S ribosomal RNA
Rfam family: Microsporidia small subunit ribosomal RNA (bases 373-778)
Source: RNAcentral
UAGUUUUAUUCUUGCUGGAGUACUCAUUUUUUGUAUAUUUUAUAUGUGAGUUUUUGCGUGUUUUUUUUGGUCUAGAUGAUUUUGUUAAUGGUUUUAUUUGCAUUAUUUAUUUUUAUACAUUAAGGUGACUUGGAUUUAGUGUUAUAUUUUAGUGUUGGUUAAAUUUGUGCCAGCAGCCGCGGUUAUACAUGGAGCGCUUUUGAGUAUGUUUGGUUGAUAGUUCUAAGGUUUAGGAGGUUGGAUUGAUUUUUUUUGUUAUGUGGUGGAAUCCUUAUUUUGGUUGUUUUCUGUUUUAUUGAUUUAUAGGCUAUGAAAUCUUAAUUGGAGACUAGGAUUAGAUACCCUAUUAUUUUAGAUGUUAAGGUUUGGCCUGAGUAGUAUUAGUUAUGAUCUUGAAACUUAAAGAAUUUGGCGGUAUCUCAUUCCUUUUAGAGGAAUCUGUCUCGUUAUCGAUAAUCCGCGUUGGACCUUGCUUAAUUUUUUUGGUUUGUAUACCGCCGUUAGUGGUGAGGAUCUUUUGAGAGUUAAAAUUUUCUUUAUUUUUUAUUUAGAAUUUAUUUUAGGUCAAGGUGCAGCUUUGAUUAAGUUGAUGAUGGAUUACGUUUAUUUUUGGUAUUUGGAUCAUUGGAUGUAAUUCUGGUGUGAAAUUGGAUUUGAUUGUAAUUUAUUGAAGGUUGUAUUAAUGAUUUUGGUUCUGGGGUAUGUACACAUCGCCCGUCGCUCUCAUUGUUUUGUGGAGGUGAGAUAAGUCGUAACAAAGUGGCUGUACCGGAAGGUG